UCAGAAAGGUCUUCGCCGUCGUUGAGAGUGGUACUGUUUUUAGAGUCUCUGGCAAAUCAAAGUGCAGUCGCAAAAAAAAAAGAUUAGUUCUAUAAAAGGCAGUGUGUGCUGAGAGUAGUAGUUCCUGAGUGUGGUCCAGAUUUUAAGUUGUUUUUUUCGUUCGUGUCGUCAUCGUCGUGCGAACACUGCAGUGCGAGAGUUCUAAAGCAGUACCAAAUGAGACAGUGAUGCACCUUUCCGACCAUCCGACCAUCGGGGCUAGCACUCAAUCGGCUUGGAUGUCGUCUGGAAACAAACCUAAUUUCGAUUUUGCUUUCAGUGAGAACUCUCGGUUAGUUCUUGGUAGGGGUUCGUACCUAGAGAAAGCGUCACCAAGUUUUGUAUCACAAUCCUUGCUGAUCAGAGAUUGAAGAAGAUGAUGGAGGAGGAGAAAUCGGGGGAAUCGACUCGGAAGGGGCGCGCUGCAGCGACCCAGACCGGCCGGACAACGUCGUCGUGUCACCAACGUGCACGCAACGCAGAAAGGUCGAUCGGGAGACUCGGUGCAAGGGUUGAAGAGAGCUAGAGAGCGAGAGCGAGAGAGAAUCUGAGCGAAAGAGAAAGAGUGAGCUAGAAAAAACCAAGGUGGGGAAGGUCUUCUGAGCUGCCGUUACUUCCGCCGCCGCCGCCGCUACCGUCGCCGUCGUUCGAGCUUCGGGUGUUUUCCGGUGCCCGGGUUGUGACAAUGCUGCUGCUGCUGCUCCGGCACUUCCUGCACGUCCAAUGAAAGAGCGGACCCCCCCUCUCCUCUCACGACUGGCGGGGACCAUCUUCCUAGGAAGCGGAAGCGAGCGCGUUGCGGUGCAGCGUCACGCCAACCACGGAUCCACAGCGAAGAAACAACUGGCACAGCAUGCGGCGACAGCACCAUGGCAACAAGUAAGACAGAGAAACGAAUACACACACAGAGAGAAAGGGAGUCACGGGUAACUAUACCGUAGUAGGCAACAGCAACCCAAAGCAGAUUGAUCUGUAGGAAUUGGUUUGUGCGUAGAUUGUACUCGCAAGAGCAUGUAUUUAGUACGCGCAAGGUGGUUUCGGCGCAAGCCGACCACCGCCAACUUAACCUGAUUUUGUACCUCUCUUUCCAUACGAGAAACGCGUUCCAACCUGUGCAACACGAUUGGAUCACGCGCGCGGAAAGUCGAACAGCUUACGUAAGCCCGCUUUUUUUCGAUUUCAAUGCAGCAUUUCGAACUUGGUUAGAGCAGAAAAGAGCAAGCGAAUGAGGUCACCUUGGAAGGGGGAGAAAAGCGAAAACGAAAACGCACAAGAAACAAGCAGGGAAGAGAGAAACGUCAAGCGUAGCGGUAAAUAGCGCUGAUUUUGUUGUUUUAGUAAUUUUUCAACCCGAGGUUUCUCGAGCCUCGAAGCAGGCCUUGAAGACGGCGCAGUAAGGAAAGGUAGAGAGAAUGCAUUGAAGAAGGGGGUUGCUGAAGAAGCUGAACCCGUCACUAGCGUCGCUGUUCGUGCUGCAUCGGACGGCGUGCUUCGGACGAAACACGGAAUAGAAAUUUACUUUCGCUUGCGAUCGAGAGAGAGCGAGCGAGUGGGAUCUUGAGAGCCCAUCGAGGUAAAGUGGUGUACAGUUAUACGAUCAACGCACGUUUGUUUUCUUGCAGAAACACUUGAAACAGAAGCGCCAACCGAACUUGCAAGUAUUGAAUUCAGCAGCUGUAGUAUGCAGAGAAUCGUAGUUUGAGCUAGAUUUGGGGGGGCUAACCCCACCCACGAAACACACGCAACUUUUCGACUAUUUGCAGCACACCCGAACGGCCCGAUGUCGUCGUCGACGGGUCCGACUCGUAGUCGAGUUUCUCUGCCUUUUGCUUGAUUUCCUCUAUCCUCUCUGAAGAGCUGAACCGCUUGGAAGCCACGGAACAUUGCGGACCCCUUCCAGAAAUCGGCGGUAAACAAACACAACCAAACUUUCCCCAAAACCACGAAGUUGGCAUCUUUACAGAGUACCCGUAUCCGGUCCGGCUCCGCGAGGAGACCGAGUUUCUUUGUUUAUUCUCUGUUCUUUUGUUUUUGGCCGGGACGCUAUGGAUUACGCCCGAAGCUAGCUACUGCCUGGACGCACUGACAGCUCACCUUGGUAAACCCAGACAUAACCCUCUUCAAACAACACAGCCCUAUCGCAUCUUUCCAGCAAGACCCACCCACAGUUUCCUCUCUCACACCGGUCCGGCAACCUCUGCCGAGUUUCUCUGUUUUUGUUUUCUGUUCUGUUUCUUCACACAAUCCGGAACCACCGACACGGAUCUGCCCCCGGAUGGCCCAGAGAACCACACCUUGAACAGACGAGCUCGCGGUAACCUUACGACUAGAUACCUCCAACAAACCCGAGUUUCUCGUAUUUUCCAGCCACAAUUUCUCUCCAAUACGGUCCGGCUCCGUGGAAGCCGAGUUUCUCUGUUUAUUAUUUUGUGUCUCUUCCAUUUCCCAUCUUUCUACUGUCUAACCCCCGAACGCCGGAAGCGCGUGGCUCGGAACAUGACUGGUGGUGAAGGACACACACGCAAGCACUCACACUGAGAGCGAGAGCGAGAGAGAACUAGAACCCCAAGAUGAGUUCCCCCCUACCGCAGGCGGACCCUUGGCACGCAACACAAAGCAGGCGAUCUUUUUUUCUCCACUUUCCGGUCCGGCUCCACAUAACCAGCCGAGUUUCUUUGUUUUUCUUUGUUUUUGUUUUCUUUUGACACCUACCCCUUCUCUAUGAAUCACCAACGACAACGAAGUGGAACAAGACCUGACAGCUGGGCAAAACAACACAAAGCAAGCGGUAAAUCGUACUUUGCAAACAUACACAAAACGAGAAGGAUUUUCUAUUACAGUUGAGAGCGUGCAAUUUACGGGACAAAUGUUUAGAAGAAACGCGGAGAACUUCAAGUCCGACGAGAGCAAAAGGGGCAUCGAACCGAAUCAGAUCAGUAAGCGAAUACGGUAUCAGAAACAAACAAGGAUUUUACUGUUUUUCAGAGGAAACUUAGAGAACUUCAACCCUUAUUGAGCGAACGCAAGGGACAUCCGAAUAGCUAGAGCUAUCGAUUUAAAAUCUGAGAGUAAGAUAAUACGAUAUCAGAAACAAACAUGGAUUUUACUGUUUUUCAGAGGAAACUUAGAGAACUUCAACCCCUCUUGAGCGAACCGCAAAGGGGCAUCUGAAUAGCUAGAGCUAUCGAAUUAAAAUCUGAAAGUAAGAUAUUAAGAUGUCAGAAACAAACAAGAAUUUUACUGUUUUUCAGAGGAAUCUUAGAGAACUUCAACCCUUCUUGAGCGAACCGCAAAGGGGCAUCUGAAUAGCUAGAGCUAUCAAAUUGAAAUCUGAGAGUAAGAUAUUAAGAUAUCAGAAACAAACAAGGAUUUUACUGUUUUUCAGAGGAAACUUAGAGAACUUCAACCCUUCUUGAGCGAACAUCGCAAGGGGCAUCUGAAUAGCUAGAGCUAUCAAAUUGAAAUCUGAGAGUAAGAUAUUACGAUAUCAAAAACAAACCAUGAUUUUACUGUUUUUUAGAGGAAAAUUAACCCAUUUCAUUGGAGCACGAAAUUUCACGAAAAUUGAAGAAAUUGUUAUGUCAAAAAUCGUACCAAGAAAACAAAACAAAAAUUAUUUUCACAGUCUACAAGUUAUCGGAAGCCUAUGUAAAGUUUUAUCAACACAUUUGGAGCACACGAAGCUAAAUUAAUCCGCACGAUCCAAAAGAUCGCAACUGUAAGCUAAACAUACGUUUGGAAACAAUCGGAAUUUUACUUUUUUGCAGAAACCAAAAAAAAAACUAUGUUUGGAAUCACCCAAGUCUUCGACGAUUAGAACCACUACAAGUGCACUUCGAGAGAAUUUAUGUGACACAUAAGCAAAAUUCUACUAAGAUAAUCUCAAAUGAAAUUAUUUGUAAAUUGAAAAGCAAAUUAUAAUGGAUGAAACAAUAUUUUAGACGCAUUAACAGCUCAACGAGCUGCAUCAAAUGUAACAAAUUAUUUAAUAUUUUACAGAUGUUAUUAUAUUAGCAAUGAUUAUUUGAAACUGUGUUCUAACAUAACAAUAUUUAAUUAUUAUGUAAUUAACAAAAAACAUAUAAAAUGUAAGCUCAACGAUGAAGGUUGAGCGUCUGAAUUUGUACGAUGUUAUUUUAAACUAUUAUUCAUAACAAAAGUAGCACCGAUAAAAAGUUAUAGCAAUUUGAGAUCAAACAUGGAGAUCAUCAAAGUUAAAAUAACUACAGAAAAUUAAAAAAAAAACAUCCCAGCAAGAUCCACUCGGAUCAUAUCAGUAAGAUAAUCACCAUUUUCGAAACAACCAGAAUUUUACUUCUUUUCAGAAAACCAAAAUAUCUAGAACCAAGCAAGUCAACGCAAAUUUUAAAUUAAUUGCUGAAAACAUAAUACUUGAUAUUGUUAUUAAACAACGAGCGAAAAGCUACAACUGACAAAAAAUAUUACAAAAAAUAUGUAUUGAAUAUUUUAUGCAAUGUUUAAUAAUUGAAUUAUAAAUAACAUGAUUGAUAUGUAAUUUACAAAAAAGAACCAUUGUGAGCUCAACAAUAGAGCUUGAGCGUUUAUAAAACAAAUAUUUCUAUAUUUAAAGAAUGAGCCUUGUAACACAUUUUGUGGUAACAAAACAACAAAAUUUGUACAAUUUACAGCACUUUGAAAAAAUAUCCUAGCAAGAAUUGUUAUGAUGCAGACAAAAAAUACUGAAACAUCAGAGAUGAAAAUUAUACUAUAUAAUAAUUAUUAUAUCUGAAACAAGUUUAACAAAUUAACGACACGGCGGAGAGCACCUCAUCGACCUGAAGCUAAUGGCAGGAGGGCCCUCAACCUUACGUCAACGAGAUAUUCGAACCAGUAAGCCAAAAUACGUUUUUCGAAACAACCAGAAUUUUACUAUUUACAGAAGGCGGGAACGCAAUUCGUCCAAACCAAACGAGAUCAAGCUAAAGUCUUCAAGUUAUCCCGUUCAAAACUGCAGUAAGCGCGAACACAUUUUGCCCAUAGACAACGAGAUCUUUUAUUUUCACAGUUCAAGAAUGUUACUUGUCGUCCGCCCGAAACGCUUAAGGGGACGCGACGCGCACAGUGUUGCCAAGUCGACCGGAAAGUUUCUGACAGCUCCAACCGCACCCAAAAAAUUUGGUAAAUCAGUGUUGCUAUCUUUCCCCGACAACCAGAGCUUUUAUUUUUUUUCAGAAGAAAAACACAGAGUGAAAAUGAUUUUAAAAAAAUGCAAAGCAGCUUUCAAAUUUGAGGUUAUGUGCGACACUUUUUCUUGCGUGUUACGCGCGCUUUAGGCACUUUCUGCGGUUCCCGGACGUCAUCUAUCUCCAACCCCCCUUCCUCCGAAUGUGGUGGCAUCCCAUCUUCCCCGUAUAUUGGUGUGCGUGCGUGUGUUUGUGCGCGUUCGUGUGCAUAUUUGUGUGCUGGAAAAAAGAAAAAAAAAUGGCGUUGACGCAGAUUCCGCCGGAAGAGAAGUUUUACACGAGCAUGCCGUGGUGGUAGCUAUGCUAAUAAUCUUUACCGAAUUCUUUGUUUUUGUUUAUUUACUAUUGUUUACCUUUUUUUAUAACUCUAAGUCUAAUACUCAGUAGUGCGUUUCAUAUGUAUUUGUUUACUUUUUACGGUAGUUUUUGUUCGAUCCCCCGUCAGCUGCUUUUGCGUCGGGGUUUUGUUACCAUUAAUCUACUUGUCUUUCUAUUCACAGAAUAGUUCCUAAUACAUACACACAUACAUUUAUAUAUAAUCUAGUUUUGUGCUGCGGCUAAGUUACUGGUUUAUUUACUAAGAAUUUCAUGGCUGUGAAUUUUUGCAUUAAAGGAAAACCAAAAAUACACUCAACAAAAAAAAUGCUUCCACUAAGCAGUGCAUUCGGGCUUCUAUGUAACAUAUUUUUUAUACAUUUUACCUUUUACUCCAUUUAUACCAGUGUACUAUCUCUUUGUUAACCUGUAUCUAUUUGAUAGUUUUUGAGCUUUGUGUUUAAGCACCCCUUUCCCCCUCUUUGCAAGAAAAAUGAGGAAAUGUGUACUAGUGAUUAAAGCAAUUUCUGUGUAAAAUUAGCCUUUUAAGCGUUACUUAUACGGUAGUUAUUGCAUAACUAACACGAAGAUAAAUGUGCUUUGGAGCCAAGUGGAUGAAAAAUGAAAACCCAUUGUGACCCAAGAAGAGCUUCGCCUUAACAAAAUAAGAAAAACAAGCGAAAAAAUGACGUUCGGUUCUCCGCGGAGAACCCUACGGUAAACAAACGAGCAAAUCUCGCUCGGUGCUGGCGAUUAGGGCACCCUGCUGGUAAUUGGGAUUUGCUCCGCGCGGAACGGCCUGCUCGGUGCUCCAGUGGACACCAGCGGAAAGGGCACGUUACCGGCUGUUGAGACACAAAAUCUAACCUAAUCUAAUCUGUCAAGUGAUGAAUUGAAUGGAUUUCAGUUGUUUAUUUAUACCAGUGUGUGCUAGUGACGACAUCUAGGAUGUUGACGUUUUGUUCUUUACUUAAAGUUGUGAUUUCCUUUCGUGUCAUGCUUUGAUCUACUAGAAGAAAGUGUUUGAUUUUGUCUGGAAAAUUAUGUGAUUUGCCCAUUGUUGACCGAUAUUGUUUUAUACGCUAUUUAUGUAUAUUCCACAAGAUAUAUCUUGGAAAUGUUCCAACUUCGAAUUGUACAGUGAUAUGAAAUCAUGUUGUUACACACCUAGCUAUUGUACUUCUUAACAAAUGGUAUGCAUUUCAUUACUGAUCGCAAUAAUGUAUUUUCUAUCGAGCUUGAAUUGGUAACCAAAGUAUAACCUCAAAGUAUUGUAAUGCCACUGUGCACCGUUUCUUUCCACGGAGUGUGGUUUGUUAACCUUACCGAAUUACUGAAUAACGCAACAAGUUUGAAGCAGCUGCGCGAGCAUGAGUACGUAUUGAGCGCUGCCAAGUAGAACGCACCCCUUCCACCCGUGUUGACCUCCGGCCGCGUCGAGCCGUUCCGCGUGCCGUCGAGAGAACGUGUCCCCGAAACCCUCACCCUCCGCACACACAUACACAGGAGACAUCCGCACAACCAAACCACACCAUCGCUUCUUGUUCUUCUGGUCUGGCGCAGAACUGCCUGCAAAGCUCUCUUCUACUACCAACGCUACGCGCUACCAACCCAGGGUCAUCUGUCCACCAUCACAUCCACACCGCCACCACUACACAUCUGUGUUGUUUCUGCACGUGCGACCUUCCAACCGGUCGGGGACCAGGUCACCCGCAAGAACCGCUAGAAGAAGCCUAAUGCGUCGCCUAGAAUCGCCCUUCGAGAACUCCGGACUCCGGUAAAGCAACUUUUGCCUCCCUCGCCCCCCCUCGUUUGCACAUAACCACGUGUCCCCUCCCCCCUCGAGAAAUGGGGGACACGUGCCCUUUCUUUUACUUUCAGAUCACUCUCACUGUUUACCUUGCGCACCCCGCUUUGUUUACCUCCGGGUGGUUGUGGCGCGUGUCCCAUUUGGUUGAGUGUGUUCCUCCCCCCUGGGUUUUUGACGGCGUUCUGGUUCCUUCGAGCUUCCGAUCCAGAGUGUCCGCUGCUGCUGCUGCUUUGAGAGCGAGCGAGCGAGCUUCGUCCGAUUCGGCCGGCCUCUUCCGGCUUCGUUGGCGAGAUCUUGCUGGGGAAGGAGGCGUUUGCUGGCGUGACGUCCGUCAUCGCGGAUUCGGCUUGAGAACGAGUACGAGAUGAUGGCGACGCUGCUGCUGCUGCUUCCCCGGGAACCUUUGGCUUGGGACACUACUCGAGGACCGACCCCCCCGUGUUGGUGGAGCGUUUGAGGUUGCAGAAUUAGUGAAGUGAAUGAAUGGCUAGAGUGAGGAGUUCGUUGUUCGGCAGUGGGAAGCAGAUUCGACCAGUCAGUCAGCGUAGAGAGCUUAAAGUUUGAGAGAUUCAUCGAAGGAGGCAGUUUGAUUUCGGCAGAACGUCAACGUCGUCAAUGUUGCCUUCUGGAGCAUUUUAAAACGUCCCGACGGUCACGUUCAACGACCACAACGGGCGCAUCGUAACAAUCAACAAAAGUUUUACCAAUCAAUCCAAGUUACCACAACAACAACUGACAAGUCUUUAGACAAACAACAACACAACAAGAUACGCCAGUUGAUGGGCGCUAUCCACGCCAAAAGGAUGCACCCGCAAUCAACGCAAAAGUUAUCUCAGCAGAAAGAAGCCAAAAGUUAGACAGAAAUCAUCACGCGAAGGGCCAGUUGAGCCGCGCAACAUCAGUGAACACCAAAAGUUCUGAAAUCAACAACCCAUCAACAAAGUGAAUUUAAACACCCUGCCAGGCAAGUGCGCCCGCGGCAGCGGUCAAAAAGUCAAAUUUGGACCCCACACAAAGUGUCAAAUCAAAGCAACCCAAAGUGCAACGGACACGAGUCAACGCAAUGUUGACGUUUCAAAAGUUACAAGAAAGUUGGUGACUGCGUCACCAGGGAAGCCCACCACGAAGUUUUGCUGAUUUAUUUGCAACGAAAAGAAAUGCAAGUGCCGCAACACAAUGGCGAUGGACUUGAAGUUAUUUUUGUUUGUGAAGAGUUUGAAAGUGGGAGCUGUCAUCUUGAAAGCAGCAGCAGUUUCGGAAAGCAUUUCCUCAUGCUGUACCGCGUGAAAAUGUUGUCAGAUUUGUUAAAAAUAAAGCAUCCUGCCGUCGAGUUUGGAGGCGGCGUAGGAUCGGCUAACGAAGUUCCUGAUAAGUUAAAGUACAAGUGAAGUUAAAUGUAAAAUGAUACAAAAUCAUCAACCGCCCGUUUGUUCUUCGCGUCUAUGAAGUCAAAUGGAUAGAGUAGGCGAAUGCCAGCAAAAUGUCGUAAUGAUGAAAUAUUUGGACAGUUACAUAAAAGUGAAAAUGAAAAAUGUUUGAAGUUGAAAUCCAUUCGCAAAAUCUGGAAGCGAAUUCGGAUAGGCUUAAGAAGAUCCUGAUAAGUUAAAAUACAAGUGAUUUCAUCACUCAAGUGGUCCGGCUUGAUACAACAUCCCGGAUAUGCAGUGAAAUUAAAGUGCUUGAAUGCAGCGUCUAUUUGUUCUUCAAGUCUAUUAAGCCAAAUGGUUAGCUAGAAGUUAUGAAUGCAGAAAAA
This is a long non-coding RNA of Culex pipiens pallens (northern house mosquito), 9121 nucleotides long. RefSeq lists it as uncharacterized. NCBI's taxonomy places the organism in Eukaryota, Metazoa, Arthropoda, Insecta, Diptera, Culicidae. The transcript has 3 exons. The record is from RefSeq and is a predicted model, not a curated record.